UCUAGAUGUUACAUGUUGCGUGAGGUUCACCCAUCUUUGUUGGUUCACAAAAAGAUUACUUUGUUGGAUCUGAGUUGUUGUACAAGUCUUACAACUCUUCCAAACCGGAUUCAUAUGGAAUCCCUAGAACAACUUCGACUAUGUGUUUGCUGCAAAUUGGAGAAGUUUCCAGAUAUUGUAGGAAGUAUGGAUCGUCUAAAUUUCCUUUCUUUAUCAAACACUGCUAUUAAAGAACUGCCAAAGUCAAUUGAACGUUUGAGUAGACUUAAAGAUUUUUUGUUGCCAGGCUGCAAAAAUCUUGUGAGUCUUCCAGUCACUAUAAAUGGUUUGAGUGGACUUGAACGAUUUAGUCUUGCUGGAUGCUCCAAAGUUGAUAACUUGCCAAUGGCGUCCCUUUUUCUUAUGAAGAAUCUUACAGAAUUAGAUUUUAGUGGAUGCAAAGGGCCGCCAUCAAAAUCUCAGUUUUCAGUCUUCUUCAAGGCUUUUAGAUUGCCCACUUUGUCAGAUUUUUGCAGAUCUUUAAAAACAUUGGUUCUGAGUGACUGCAAUAUGGAGGAAGAAGCGAUUCCUAAUGACUUUUUCUGUAGCUUUUCUUCAUUACGAACGUUAGACCUCAGCAAAAACAAUUUUGUUUCACUGCCUGGAAGCAUCAAUCAUCUUUCUGAGCUUUACUAUCUUGACUUCAACGGUUGUAAGAGACUUCGAUCUCUACCGGAACUUCCAUCCAACAUAGAAUAUAUUAACGUAAAUGGUUGUGUUGCACUGGAAACAACAUCAAAUGCAUUAAGGUUAUGCAAUUCCAAGCUGUUUGAUUUUUUAUGUAUAAACUGCUUGAAAUUGACUAAUCUAGCAUCUUCAAUGCCUAGAGAAUCCCUUAAGGCAAUGCCAGAUCCUCAGCCAAUGUUCAUGCAAGAUCCUAGCAUGGUUUUUCCCGGAAGUAAAAUUCCAGACUGGUUCCAACAUAAGAGUGAGGCGUCUUCAAUUAAAAUGGAAGGGCCUCCAGAUUCUUAUGAUAACAAGAUGGUGGGAUGUGUUGCCUGCUGUGUUUUCGAUUUCCAUGAGCGUCAGAGUCAAGAUGAGGAUGAAGACACGACUAUACAUGCAAUGCGCUGCGAUGCGACCGGUAACAAAUGGAAUGCUGCUGCGAUUAGUUUUCGCGAGUAUUGGGGCAAGACUGUGUCAGAGCAUCUUUGGCUAACCUAUUUUCAUGAAGAACUCUUUCAAGAUUUUGUUGAGCUUUCAUUUUUUUCACAUGAUCCAGCAUUGGCGGUGAAGAGGUGUGCGAUCCAUCCAGUAUACGAGAAAGAACUGAAAGAAUUGAAGAAAAGGACCAACAAAUCUAGUAGCUCUAGUUUUGGGAAUCUAUAUGAGUUUGAUGAAUAUUUUACCGGAUCAGCAGUGGAUGUUGACUGUGAUAGGUCAGAAGACGAACCAAUCUCCAAGAUAAUAACAUCUCCAAAUUUCACAUAUGGCGAAUCGAGCUCAAGGUCUCGAGUGAAUGAGAAAAAAAUAGAAGAGUAUUCUGACGAUGAAGAUGAACCACCAUCAAAAAGAUUAAAAGAAUUAUAAUCCUUCAGCUUUAGAAUCUUCUAAAGCCUACAUCUUAUACAGUGCCGUUUUACAAAUAUAUUGAAUUCUUCCCAGGUAAUUGUAUAAGAAGUUUUAAGGCUGGCCAAACGAGCAGCAUGCCACCAUGGUGAAUGAAAAGACCCAUCCACCUGCGAGGGCCCCAUCAGAAAUAUUCCAAGAAAAGAUAAUCAUCCAUAGUAUAGUUACAGAAUUGAAUGAAAUUUUCUAAAUGCAUGUCGAGAAACCUUGUAAAUGCAUAUCUCUAGAAGAUGAUUUAAGAUUCACAUCCGCAAAAACCAAUGUAUCCCAACUAAUUAUUUAGUUAAUGUGUUAAAACGUAUAAACCUAUAUAAAUUCUCAUCGCUGACAGAUUGUUUUGUCAUUCAAUUUUCCAAAAUAUGGGUCAAAAUUCACUGUCAACAUAAAUCGAAAAAUAAUAACAUAAAUAAAAGGUGUAAAAUCUCUCAAAACAUGGGCUCUCACUUUAAAUAAGCAUAAAGUUCUUUUCUUUUUUUUCCCCCUAUUUGA
Molecule: RNA transcript, 2097 nt
Organism: Pistacia vera
Lineage: Eukaryota; Viridiplantae; Streptophyta; Magnoliopsida; Sapindales; Anacardiaceae
Gene name: disease resistance-like protein DSC1
Exons: 5
Source: RefSeq, a predicted model, not a curated record